CGUUUCGCAGAAAUUCAGAGAUUUUCGAUCUCCUUGAAAUAAAAUGAGUUCGAUCAGCAACACCAGUCUCCGCAGCACCAGGAUAAAGACCUUCUUUUUACCCAUAACCUUUCUCUGCAGCAUUGGAACCAAGAUCGGGCUUGGCAGAGUUACGUAUCUAUGAAAAAUGGAGUUGGUUUAUUAUCUCCUGGCAUUUUGAUCUUUUGCAAAGACCUAGUUUGUAACCCUUCAGAUACUAACAUAGCUGUCUUCCCCUUGCAUGCCAUAUAUAGAAGAAUGGUGCUUCAAUUACAAAACAUGCUACAACAGAGAUGGAAUAGGUACUGA
RNAcentral lists this ribosomal RNA (327 nucleotides) under Triticum aestivum (bread wheat). RNAcentral's name for it is "partial small subunit ribosomal RNA". Lineage: Eukaryota; Viridiplantae; Streptophyta; Magnoliopsida; Poales; Poaceae. The record is from RNAcentral.